Molecule: small nucleolar RNA, 109 nt
Organism: Talpa occidentalis (Iberian mole)
Lineage: Eukaryota; Metazoa; Chordata; Mammalia; Eulipotyphla; Talpidae
Product: small nucleolar RNA U13
Exons: 1
Source: RefSeq, a predicted model, not a curated record
AUCCUUUUCUGGUUCAUAAGCAUGACAAUUGUGUGGUCACACUAUUGUGUGAAAUGUGCCUCCCUCAAACCUUGUUAGAAUGCUGGCACCUUACCUUUCUCUAUCGAUA